Molecule: long non-coding RNA, 187 nt
Organism: Micropterus dolomieu (smallmouth bass)
Lineage: Eukaryota; Metazoa; Chordata; Actinopteri; Centrarchiformes; Centrarchidae
Exons: 3
Source: RefSeq, a predicted model, not a curated record
AUUACAGCUAAAAGUUGACACUGAAGAAGAAAUUGUUUUAUUUUUCAAGGGUCAUAAUAUGAAAGAGGUGAGUGUGGAGCUGGAAAUGGAAUUCAAAUGACAAGCUCGAGAUGUCAAAGUUCCAAUCACACAUCUUUUCAAACAGCACUCACAAUGAAGACCAGCAGAAAGGGAAUGGAAAUGUUCU